AAAAUAAACAGUUGGUUCGGUGAAACCAGAAUGUUUAAGUUAUGUGCUUUUAACAAUUAUUUCUUGUGCUGAAAAUCAAGGUUCUCAACAGUAUCUUGGCGGAAAAAUGUGGAAGCAAAGUCCACUUAGCUGCAAAAUAAUUUCAUUGAGGCGUGAUAUUGGUCAGAAUAAUAUUCUUUUGGAUGCAGCUUUCCGGACGCCCAAACAAAGACAAACUAACUAUUUUGCCCAUAAAUUUUAUAUAACGAAACAUAUAUCAUACAAAUAAAUAAUCAAAAUGUAACAUACACUUGUUUUUAUUUUUC
This is a long non-coding RNA of Armigeres subalbatus, 305 nucleotides long. RefSeq lists it as uncharacterized. The transcript has 3 exons. Lineage: Eukaryota; Metazoa; Arthropoda; Insecta; Diptera; Culicidae. The record is from RefSeq and is a predicted model, not a curated record.